UCGAGGUCUCUUCUCCUCCUCUGCUUCCGAUCCCCGCGUCUCCUCGACGAGUUCAAUACCUCGAUCCCCCGCGUCCCUUUCGCCGCUGCAAUGGCGGCCUUCACCGCCGCCACCCCCUCGUCUGUCUCUUUGUUAUUCUUUCGGCCCGCCGUGUCCGGACCUCAAACGAGGGUUUGUUGUACACCGACGUCGCCCGAUCCACCGGACAUGGUUUCGAUGUCUCUUUAUUCGCUGGCUUCAAAGAAUUGGGAACAACAAGGUCUGAUGACCUUCCUGCCCUAGUGCAUGGCAUUAGGAAGAUCUGUUUGGUUCUAUAUCUUUCAGAUGACUGUUGAUGGUGAAGUGGUAAUCGAUCCCAGCAUUGUUCUCAGUGCCUUAGCUUGUGGCAGUUCACUAAAGUCAACUACUGCUGGAUGGAGAUUGGAGAUGCUUUAUUUGCUGAAUCGGGGAUGCCUCGUUUCCUCUAUGCUUCAUGUGGAGGUAUAAACAAUUUGGCCAUUUGAAGGCUCGACUUGCUCGACUCACCAGCAGCUCGAGUGGGCCGAGGGUUUUAAAGCUAUGCACUGAUACUCCAUGUGCAUAUCACAGACUGCGUCCUGCUCCGUGCUAUGGGCCCGUACUACUAAUACUUCCAAGUGUGGCGGUCCUCCUCUCGUGCUCGGACGGCGGACAAUGCGAUGGCCCCCCCAGGCGCAGAAAGGAAGACAGUAAAACCCGUGUCCUGACCGCCUGUGCUCCACCCACAUGGAGGAGGAUGACCCGCAUGUGCUAUCUAUCGAGAGAAGUUUCUUGUAAUUCUCUUGCAGUGGUGGAUCGCCCUGAAAACUUUCAAGGGGUGACAUGGUCGCUCAUCCAAACCUGGCCCCACGCAGCAUCACACCGUAAAUGAUUGCGGUGGUGGGAGCUGCGUUACGGCUUCGAUCGAUCGAUCAAGCAAGGUCCUUUCGGCAGCCCCGAACCUUUACACACACAAAUUAUGAUGGUAUCCUGCUGCUGACACACACAACGUAAGUCGUGGAUUGCACACAAAGAGAGCACACGCCACAGUCGGGGGAUGCAAGGCUCUUGCCAUUGCUUUCAUUAUUAUUUAUACAUGCAAGGAAGACCCACUGCAUUAUUGGAUGGAAAGGCAAAGGCAAAAGGCAGAGGGGAUCUGGAGAGGGGCACGCAAUGCGUACCAUCCACCCUACGCCUGCCACUCUCCGGAAAGAUUCUCAGGGGAUGAAGCAGUAAACGACGCUACGGACGGAGGAGACACGUAUAAUAAAGGAGUGCUGAAUGACACUCCCAGGCUUUUCCUCCUCCCCGCCUCGAACCGGCCACCGCUUCACGGGUUGAAGCUUGCCGGGGGAGAGAGAGAGAGAGAGUGGACGGUGGUCUACUCCAACCCAUAUACUGUAGUUUUUGGUCGCCAUGGUCAAGUCCUUCCAUGUUCUGGGCGGCGACCAACCGUUGGGCGUCCCUGUUGAUUGCUAAUCUUAGGAUUUGUUUAUUCCGUCUCGGGUCGCACUCCCCAAGGACGAUAGGACGCUCCACAUCUCACCAGCUAAAACUGUUUCCACAUGACGCACACGCAACACGCGACCCCCGGACUUUGAUUCGCCGCACACGAUCGGCAUCGCAUGAUCUUUUGGAUCAUUAAAUUAGCCUUGACCGCCCACCUCCCUCACCCGCUCGCCUUCAGCCCAAAGUUUACCGUUGCAAGUGGGACGCUUGUCGUCCCGUGCAGCCACUUGUCCCCAUCACCCCCCGCCCGGCCUUGGAUUCCACCGCACCCCUUCUUUUCCUUCCCCACACCACACACCCGUCCCCCGUUCCCCACCACCGCGCUCCUUUCGCCCUCCCUUUUCUCCACCAACACACUGCCACAAAAGACUCCCCUUCCACUCCACCAACCUUUCAUCCCAAGGUUUCCUUAACAUAACCCUCGUUCCAAGCCUCUCGAGCUCUCCGGCUCCUUUUUCUUUCCUAGCUCUCGAAUGAAGCUAUGAUACACCAAUUCACCAACAAUGCCACGACAACAGCAGCAACAGCGGCAGCGAGUGCUUUCCUUCUGGAGUUGCCGACUGGUUCCUCUUCUUGCGGCGGUGCUUCUCGUGUCUGUGUUGCAGGUGGGUGGCGGCGAGGCGGUGGUCUUCAACUUCCGGACGCUCACACUGGGGAACCUCAAGCUGUUGGGGGACGCGCACCUUAAGAACGGUAGCUUCCGCCUCUCCCGCGACCUCCCCGUCCCCAACUCCGGCGCCGGCCGCGCCCUCUACGCCGAGCCCGUCCGCCUCCGCCACCCUGCCACCCGUGCCCCCCUCCCCUUCUCCACCUUCUUCUCCUUCUCCAUCGUCAACCUCAAUCCCUCCUCCAUCGGCGGCGGCCUCGCCUUCCUCCUCGCCCCCGACGACACCUCCGUCGGCGACGCCGGUGGCUUCCUCGGCCUCGUCAACGCUACCGCCAGCGCCGCCCCCGGCCGCGCCUCCGUCGUCGCGGUCGAGUUCGACACGCGCAUGGACGUCGAGUUCGAUGACAUCAACGGCAACCACGUAGGGGUGGACCUCGGCAGCUUGGUCUCGGCGCAAGUCGCCGACCUGGACUCCGUUGGGAUUGACCUGAAGAGCGGCGACCUCAUCAACGCCUGGAUCGAGUACGGCGGCGGCGCCGCAGGGUGGACGCUUGAGGUCUUCGUUUCCUACUCCACCGUUCGCCCCGCCGACCCCGUCCUCUCUUUCCCGGUCGAUCUCGGCCGGUACGUCGACGAUUUCGCGUUUGUUGGCUUCUCCGGAUCCACCCAGGGAAGCACCGAGAUCCACAGCGUCGAAUGGUGGAGCUUCUCCUCACCUUCUCUCGGCGCCUCCCCACCGUCCACGACGACGACAGCGCCUCCGCCUCCUGCAACCCUAGUCUUCCCAUUCUUUGGCCCAUCGCCGCCUUCCUUACCCCCUUCCGCCCCUGUCCCUGUAGCCGCCGAAAGCCCCAGCGAAGGAACUGUGCGGCCCUCCUCGGCCUCGUCCUGCCAGAACAACGGGCUUUGUCGCCAGGGCCCAGCCGCGGUCGCUGGGGUGGCGACGGCCAGCGCCUUCGUCGUCGCGGCAGUUGCCGGCUUGGGCUUCUGGGUCUUCACCCGGAGGACAAAGUCACCCAAGAAAUGGGAACACUUGGCGGCGACGUCGGAGAUCGUCAACACCCCGAGAGAGUUCAGCUACAGAGAGUUAGUCGUUGCCACUCGAGGCUUCGACUCAUCUCGUAUCAUUGGCCACGGCGCCUUCGGCACCGUCUACAAAGGGAUCAUCCCGGAGACGGGCGCGAUGGUGGCCGUCAAGAGGUGCAUCCAGAACGGGAGCGACAGCGGCGGGCAGCAGGCGAGGGCGGAGUUCCUCUCUGAGCUCUCCAUCAUUGCCGGCCUACGGCACAGGAAUUUAGUUCGCCUACAAGGUUGGUGCCACGAGAAGGGGGAGAUCCUCUUGGUCUACGACUACAUGAUCCACGGAAGUCUCGACAAGGCUCUGUUCGAUCCAAAGGCGCCGCCUUUGGGGUGGCGGCACCGCAAGAAGAUACUCAUCGGGGUGGCUUCCGCCCUCGCCUACCUCCACCGCGAGUGCGAGAACCAGGUGAUCCACCGCGACGUCAAGUCGAGCAAUGUGAUGCUCGACGAGGACUACCACGCCAGGCUCGGAGACUUCGGACUAGCGCGCCAGGUCGAGCACGACAAGUCGCCGGACGCCACCGUCACCGCCGGCACGAUGGGUUACCUCGCGCCCGAAUACCUGCUCACGGGUCGUGCCACCGAGAAGACCGACGUCUUCAGCUUCGGCGCGGUCGUGCUCGAAGUGGCUUGCGGCCGCCGCCCGAUCGACGGCGACGGCGACAACAACCGCAUCGCAGGCGGCGCCGGCAGCAGCACCAGGAGGUGCAGUAAUCUGGUCGAAUGGGUGUGGGGGCUGCAUGGGGAAGGAAGGAUACUGGACGCGGUGGACCGGCGAUUGGACGGGGAAUUCGAGGAGGGAGAGAUGCGGCGAGCGUUGCUCGUCGGGCUGGCAUGCUCCAACCCGGACCCGAUGACGAGGCCGGGGAUGCGGAACGUGGUCCAAAUGCUGAGCGGCGAAGCCGACCCGCCAUUCGUGCCGGUGGCAAAGCCAUCAAUGAGCUUCAGCACCAAUCAACAUUUACUGCUCAGUCUACAAGACAGCGUUUCCGACUACAACGCCAUGGGACUCAACCUCUCCAUGUCAUCAUCCUCUUCAUCCUCUCUAACCAGCACACUACGAGCCUGCGGCGGCGGCGGCGGCGGCGGAGAAGGGACAUAGGCACACCGCGCGGUGGUAAUCUCUACGAAAUUCACCAAAUACAGUACAUAUACAUGAUUAGGCACAUCGAUCUUUAAACUUGUGGUGUAGGGUUGAAGACAGUGACUCUUCGACCAUUGUAUUAUGUUUGAUCUGCCCAGUGAGUUAGAUAUGUUGGGCACAGCGACGAAUUCGGCAGAGAAGAAACGUGCGUGAAGGACAGCGACGGGAAGUGAGAACUGAGAGGUGGUAUUUAGUAGCAACCAGCAAGGAAGGAGACAGUCUGCCCGUAGGAGUUGCCUCCGUUCUUAUUCGUUUGUUAUGGUGUCUUAAUUGGUCCAUGUUCACAUCAUAUUUGCCCGAAGGAGUCAGAGAUUCUUCUUCGGCAUCGGUUUCGGUUUGAUACCAAAUUCGUCCGACUCUGAUAAUAAUGAACCUUACAAGAUUGUAUCGAGAUGUUCUCG
Musa acuminata AAA Group (dessert banana) is the source of this 4738-nucleotide RNA transcript. It is a transcript of the gene named L-type lectin-domain containing receptor kinase VIII.1-like, with no coding region annotated. NCBI's taxonomy places the organism in Eukaryota, Viridiplantae, Streptophyta, Magnoliopsida, Zingiberales, Musaceae. The record is from RefSeq and is a predicted model, not a curated record. The transcript has 7 exons.